AUUGAACGCUGGCGGCAUGCUUUACACAUGCAAGUCGAACGGCAGCGCGGGCUUCGGCCUGGCGGCGAGUGGCGAACGGGUGAGUAAUGCAUCGGAACGUGCCCAGUCGUGGGGGAUAGCCCGGCGAAAGCCGGAUUAAUACCGCAUACGACCUGCGGGUGAAAGCGGGGGACCGAAAGGCCUCGCGCUAUUGGAGCGGCCGAUGUCGGAUUAGCUAGUUGGUGGGGUAAAGGCUUACCAAGGCGACGAUCCGUAGCUGGUCUGAGAGGACGACCAGCCACACUGGGACUGAGACACGGCCCAGACUCCUACGGGAGGCAGCAGUGGGGAAUUUUGGACAAUGGGGGCAACCCUGAUCCAGCCAUGCCGCGUGCGGGAAGAAGGCCUUCGGGUUGUAAACCGCUUUUGUUCGGGAAGAAAUCCUCUGGGCUAAUACCCCGGGGGGAUGACGGUACCGGAAGAAUAAGCACCGGCUAACUACGUG
RNAcentral lists this ribosomal RNA (484 nucleotides) under uncultured bacterium. RNAcentral describes it as "partial 16S ribosomal RNA". It matches the Rfam family "Bacterial small subunit ribosomal RNA", at positions 28 to 507 of the family's 1533-position model. The record is from RNAcentral.